AUGGCGCUGCGCAGCCUGGUGGUCGCGCCCGUUUUUUCAUGUUGUGCGGAUAACCCGGCCCGGGAGCUCGACGGAAUCCGGAUCGAAUUCCACCAUGAUAAUUUGUUCUGCCUGCUUGAAAUGAAAUCGAAGCUCUCUCUACUAUUGCUUCCCAAUUCCGUCUCAG
This 166-nucleotide non-coding RNA is filed under the name Thalassiosira minuscula. Lineage: Eukaryota; Bacillariophyta; Thalassiosirophyceae; Thalassiosirales; Thalassiosiraceae. The record is from RNAcentral.